This 6148-nucleotide long non-coding RNA is filed under the name Brassica napus (rape). RNAcentral's name for it is "long non-coding RNA (BNAP_LNC011977)". Lineage: Eukaryota; Viridiplantae; Streptophyta; Magnoliopsida; Brassicales; Brassicaceae. The record is from RNAcentral.
AGGGUCUCCCGAAUUCACUCUACUCGCAGCCUUUCUCACACUACACCCAGCCACUAAACCUUUCAGGCCCACAGCAAUCUCAACCUCCUAACCAAGGCUCACAAAACCCAAAACCUCCUCACAACGGCUAAAGAUGACACAUGCAGAAGCUGAAUGCAAACGGGUUUGUAAACCUUUUUUUUUGCAAAUUCAGCAGUUUGGUAUCAUGCUAUCACGGCUCCAAACAAACAUCUGGUGGCUUCUCGGGGUGCUUGCAAGUUACGUGCCUUUCUGGCUCGCUUAGCAACAGGUAAUGAUGAUGCAGAGAGACAUGUACCUAAGUAACCCGAGGAGAUUCUUGGUCCAUACAUCCUCUGGGCUUAUAUAAAUGUUUGGUUUUGCCGUGUAAUAUUAUAAUAUCAUCCUCUUAUUGUAGUCUAUAUCUGAAGCUACCCUUAGUUAAAAAUCGGUGUUGGUGUCUGGUGAUAUUGAUAUGAGUACUGCAAACUCUCUUGCCUUUAUUUAUUUUUUUCUGGAUAUUUCGCUUAAUGCGUGUCUGAAUUAUUGUUUCUGCUUCCGUGGUAUUUAUUAUAUGAUCAUCUAUGAGAUAUGUGCAAGUUUUGGUUCCAGAUAGUGUCCUAUGGGGAUUGUCCAAUCGGUUUUGGGUAUCGGACAUAUUAACACCGACUUUCUUAGGUUUGUUACGGUUUCAGGAAGUACCGCUCGUGGAACCAUCCAUACAAGCAUCGGAUUCUACCCCGGGUGUGAUCCCACAAAGUUUGGUGUUACAUUUUUUUUUUCUCUGUGUCUCGGAAGGAAUAUAUCAAAAUAAAAUGUAAGUUUUCACAGAAAAAACGGUAUAUUAUUUUCAUCAUAUUGUGCGUAUUUUUGGCUUUGGUGAAGGUUAUUAGUCCAGAAAGGACAAAGCCCAUUUGGGUUGGUUUUGGACACGAAAGGGAUUGUGCAGCAUUGGCAAAUAGUGGUUAACGUUCGUCUAUCUGGUCUGGUGUUCCUUGUGAGGACCGUAGUUGGGCCCAAAUAUCAUAAAGAAACACACGAAACACUCUCCGUUUUUGGUUUUGAUCCCAGACAGACAAGAACACUCUCUCAUGUAUGGCAAAUGCCCUCCCUCUUUAAAUCAAAUAACGGACAGGAAGCAGUUGCGGCCCUGGGUAUAAGCAUUAGAAACAUCUGAUUCCGGCCGUUGAUAAUUAACAAAAUUUUCAGCCUAUUUAUAAAAUAUGCCAGUAGGUUAGAUGAUCAAACUAGCUAACAAAUCCCUCCAUAAUAAAAUUUUGGGUUUCUAGUCUUUGUUUUUGUAGAGCUUUUUACUGCUGGGCCUGAGUAGAAAUCAAGAAACAUAAAUAGAUAGAAAUGUGAGAUGUCCAGGACUUUAUGCCUGCUCUCUCUCUCUCUCUUUCUCGAGUCACUCUCAAAAUCUGGUUCGGGUUAGGUUAUAGACAUUUUAUGUGGAACUCAAAAACUGAGAUAGGAUCAAUACUUUUAAAAAUCUAUGCAUUUCUUAUUUUCCAAAACCCAAACAAACAAACCAAACGAAUAUUUUAAUUUUACUGAAAGUAUUAUUUGUAUUUAAUUUUAAAAUAAUUAUAUAUAAAUAUAGUUUAUAAUUAAAACAAGUACAUUUAUAUAUUUUUUUCAGCUACUAGCCAAUUCUCGAUAUUUUUAGCAAAAUCGAACUGAAUUCUGUAGAAACCCUGUCUAAACCUGAAAGCACCGACAGUGCCGGCUCAAUAGGGAGUGCGGCCGGUGCGACCGCCCCGGGUCCGGUUCAAAUCUUACAAUAUUAGGGGCCCUAAUUAUUUAAUUAGCAUAUCUGAUUUAGAUUUAAACAGUAUUAAAACGAUGUAUCAUAAUUUUUUCUAGUUAAAUUAUCAAAGAGAAUAUACAUGUUUGAUGCUCGAGUCGAAAUUUCAGGAAAUUUUUUUACCAACGUUAAAAAAUUAACUUACUAUAGGGGCUUUAAAAUUCUUUUUGCCCAAGGGCCCUUCUAUAUAUUAAGCCGGCCCUGAGCACCGAAAACCAUAAACUCGAACUGGAACCAAACUAUAAUGCCCUCUGCCUAAAUCAAACACUGAAAAUCUGAAACUUUGUAACCCAUUUGCUACUUGUGUUACAGGCUUCACGGUACACAGAUAUAUCCUAUUGAUUAAAUAGUGGGCUUUAAGACAAGGCCUUUCCAGUUUUUGUGGGCCGAAACUGAAAAUAAAAUGCUACACUUGCCCACCAGCGAACGUGAACAUCAGAGUCACAGAUAACAACACUUGAGAGAGUUAUCAGAAAGAGUUCCCUAUCGACACUCUCUCUCUCUCUCUCUUCCUCUCAGCAUCAUCAUCACCACCAAAUCGCCGCCAUGUUCAGACAAGCUUCUCGCCUCGUCUCCCGAUCUAUCACCGCCAAAUCGGCGACAAACCGUGCGUUUUCAACGGAAGUCCCGUCGACGAUCGAUUCGAGUUUCGUGGAGGCAUGGAAGAAAGUCGCACCGAACAUGGACCCGCCGCAGACUCCUUCUUCCUUCAUGAAGCCUCGUCCAUCGACUGCUUCCUCGAUUCCGACGAAGCUCACCGUCAAUUUCGUCCUCCCUUACGCAUCUGAGCUUUCCGGGAAAGAGGUCGGCUUUCAUUUUUCCUCGUUCGAUGUUCGCAUUUAGGUUUCUAGGGUUUGAUCUAUGACUCUGUGUGUUAUGGUUACAUAUUUGAUUGUUGUUUGAUUUCAUGAUAAGGUGGUUAAUUAGGUCUGAAGACUUUUGAUUUUUGGUUAGAUCUAACGGCGCUAAAGUUUAGGGUUUUGAUAGGCCAAAGCUGAAACUGGCGCAGUUGAUGUUUCGUUUAGUUUCUACAUAAUUGUUAAUAACAAGAUCAAGAACAAAAAAAAAAGCCUCACUUUUUAGUGAUUAAGAAUAACCUAAAUCUCCCUAAUUUCUCAGGUUUACCAUUUGUUGUCUCUGCAAAAUGUUGCUUGCUAUAAAUCCAUUAAAAUUUUAUUAAGAGUUUUGUUAUCUCUGCUCUGUUCAUAACCAAAUGAUCCUGGUGUGUUUUUUACGGUUUCUAAUACAAUGUGAUUGGCAAAUAAUGUUUGUUUCAUAUAUCUUGAAACUUUGAUGUUGACAAAUUAUAACUGCUGAUUUCUAAUGUGUUAAUUGGUUUUGUGAAGGUUAAUCUUUUCUCUUCUAUUGAUAUAUGAUGUGGUAUACAUAUAGACUGAAUCUCCAUGGCAAGUAGUAAUUUCUCAUUGGCUUAUUCUCAUAUGUUGGUGGUGCAUUCACUGUGAUAUCUCUUCUGUAGAAUAUACAUUCAGUACUGAAAGUUCUUAUCGUCCCUGACUUGCUUUCUGAUGCAUCCAUUGCUUAUAUCCGAGAACGUAAACCUAUUUCUUGAUUGGUUUGUUUUCUUGUAUAUAUUUAAUUAUAACUCAAAGCUUAUUGGCUUUUUCUCUUUUGUCUACUUCAAGGUCGACAUGGUCAUCAUUCCCGCGACAACAGGACAAAUGGGUGUUUUGCCUGGACACGUUCCAACAAUCGCUGAGCUCAAACCCGGUAUCAUGUCCGUCCACGAAGGUACUGACAUCAAGAAAUACUUUGUGAGCAGUGGAUUUGCAUUUCUCCACGCAAAUUCCGUUGCUGACAUUAUCGCGGUUGAGGCCGUGCCGCUUGAGAACAUCGACGCAAGCCAAGUCCAAAAGGGUUUAGCUGAGUUUACACAGAAACUUGCUUCUGCCACAACAGAUCUUGAGAAAGCAGAAGCACAGAUUGGUGUCGAAGUUCACAGUGCUAUGAACGCAGCUCUCUCGGGCUGAUGAUGAGUGAAAGUCUCUUUUUUACUACUACAAAUGAUGGAAUAAAUUAGAAAAUGAUUUUAUUUUUCCUUUUCGUAAUUGUGUUGGACUUUUUGGAAUAAAUGAUUUUGUUGAAGGCACAAACCAACAGAAAGUUAUUAUUCUUCUCGACUUAUGUUUGUUUUGAGAUUGAGAAACUAAGUUCCCGAAUUGAUUUAUGGUUUUCAUUUCCUAAAAUUCUUUUUUUCUCACUUUGGGCCAUUUUUGCAAUGUCACUUCAGAACGAUUAAAAAUUGUUGGUUUUUCUUGUUGAUUUUGAAACUCUCUCGAAGUGACAAUAUUAGUGUUUUACAGUGACCUAGAAAUAAUAUGAUUUUUAAAAUAUCGAACAACUCAUAUCAUGAUUAACAUAUCAUACUGUACGUAGGCUGGGACGGAUCCAGAUAUUCGGAAAAUUUAAUAUCCGGAUUUCGGAUAUCCGUCUCGAUAUUUUAUUACCCGCGGAUAUCCGGAUCCGUAAAAAUAAUUAAAAAUAAUAUUUUUUUUUAAAACUAAAAUUUUAAUAUAAUAUAUAAACCUGUUGGUACUGGUCGUGGAAGUUCAGUUGGGGGCCACCUUCCCCACCAACAAGCCACCCAGCAUAAUGUUGGAACUAUUGGCCCUAAUGUGAACUUCCCCCUUGAUAGUCCAAAUAGCCAGCCUUCACCUGGUGGUCCGCUAUCCCAACCUGGAUAUGUAAGUAUCGCCCUCAUCUCUUUUAAUUUUUUUCUUUCAUCUAGUAGUUUCUGAAGCAUUAGAGCUCGAUUGUUUUUGGUUGACUUUAAAUCAUCAUACGAUGUUGCCUUUUCAGGGAAGCCAAGCAUUCAGGGAUGGUUUUAUGGGCGGCAUUUCUCAGGUUGUCUUCUCGUUUUAUGUUACUUAGUGAUCAGGGGCAGUCUUUUCUACUUUUGUCUGUUAUUUAAUAUCUUCUAUGUCAAUACCACCAGGAUUUCUUAGGUGAUGAUUUCAAGAGCCAGGGAUCUCAUGUUCCUUACAACAUGGGCGACUAUUCUACACAGGUAGUUUCUCUUCUGCCUGCUUUAGUUAUUAGACAUGUAAAUACUUUGGAUAUAUGAUAGUAGGACUACGAUAAGAUGUCUUUGGAAAUGUAAAACCAAAAUUCCGAGGUUGGGCCAGAUAUAUAUAACCAUGUGUUGCAAAGUUGAUAGUUCUUGAAUUUCACAUAGGAAUUACUGACUGUUCAUGUUUUUUGUAUAUGUUCUUCGUUUCUGAGCCAUAUUUGUAUAUAAUUUCUUUGUAUGCCUCACAGGGAGGAUAUGCGGUUGAUUAUGCCACACAAGGAGCCCAUGGAGCUUUUCCUGGAAACUUUAUGAACCAAAAUUCUCAAGGGGGUUAUUCUCGUUUCAGUGGGAGUAAUGAUUUCAUGUCCCAGGUGUGUUUCACCUAGCCUUUCCUUUUAACACAGUUUUUUUUCCUUAAUUCCUAGACCUUCGUCUGAGUCCUCUAUUGUUGACACAGGAGUAUAUGGCGCAUGGAGCACAAGGUCUUUUCACCCAAGCUGGCUUUAUCGACUCAUCUCAGGAUGAUGGACAACAGAAUCCUUUUGGUGUGAACAAUCCUAAUCUUCAGUCUCAGGUUUGUCCUUAAUCCUAAUCCUUGAUAGUUCGUUUGCAUUAACGUUUACAAUUAACAAAAAAGGAGGAUUCUUAAGAUAGCGAAGGUUGUGUGUUUAUAUAGAGAGAAUUACACACUAAACAUUAACCCAAACUCAUACAAACAAUUGAGGCCUUUCGAGUUUGUGUUCACCAUAUUAAUCUUUGGUACUCAUGUUUCUUUUCAAAAGAUGCUAACGACUCUUCGUCUCACAGGGUCUCCCGAAUUCACUCUACUCGCAGCCUUUCUCACACUACACCCAGCCACUAAACCUUUCAGGCCCACAGCAAUCUCAACCUCCUAACCAAGGCUCACAAAACCCAAAACCUCCUCACAACGGCUAAAGAUGACACAUGCAGAAGCUGAAUGCAAACGGGUUUGUAAACCUUUUUUUUUGCAAAUUCAGCAGUUUGGUAUCAUGCUAUCACGGCUCCAAACAAACAUCUGGUGGCUUCUCGGGGUGCUUGCAAGUUACGUGCCUUUCUGGCUCGCUUAGCAACAGGUAAUGAUGAUGCAGAGAGACAUGUACCUAAGUAACCCGAGGAGAUUCUUGGUCCAUACAUCCUCUGGGCUUAUAUAAAUGUUUGGUUUUGCCGUGUAAUAUUAUAAUAUCAUCCUCUUAUUGUAGUUUAUAUCUGAAGCUACCCUUAGUUAAAAAUCGGUGUUGGUGUCUGGUGAUAUUGAUAUGAGUACUGCAAACUCUCUUGCCUUUAUUUAUUUUUUU